GGAAUUGACGGGGGCCCGCACCAGCGGUGGAGCAUGUGGUUUUAUUCGAAGCAACGCGAAGGACCUUACCAGGUCUUGACAUCCUUUGACCACUCUAGAGAUAGAGCUUUCCCUUCGGGGACAAAGUGACAGGUGGUGCAUGGUUGUCGUCAGCUCGUGUCGUGAGAUGUUGGGUUAAGUCCCGCAACGAGCGCAACCCUUAUUGUUAGUUGCCAUCAUUAAGUUGGGCACUCUAGCGAGACUGCCGGUGACAAACCGGAGGAAGGUGGGGAUGACGUCAAAUCAUCAUGCCCCUUAUGACCUGGGCUACACACGUGCUACAAUGGACAGUACAAUGAGCAGCGACACGGCGACGUGAAGCGAAUCUCAUAAAGCUGUUCUCAGUUCGGAUUGUAGGCUGCAACUCGCCUACAUGAAGCCGGAAUCGCUAGUAAUCGCGGAUCAGCACGCCGCGGUGAAUACGUUCCCGGGCCUUGUACACACCGCCCGUCACACCACGAAAGUUUGUAACACCCGAAGUCGGUGAGGUAACCGCAAGGAGCCAACCGCCUAAGGUGGGAUAGAUGAUUGGGGUGAAGUCGUAACAAGGUAACCAAGGGCGAAUUCUG
This 608-nucleotide ribosomal RNA is filed under the name uncultured Vagococcus sp. Its description in RNAcentral is "bacterial SSU rRNA". It matches the Rfam family "Bacterial small subunit ribosomal RNA", at positions 906 to 1515 of the family's 1533-position model. Lineage: Bacteria; Bacillati; Bacillota; Bacilli; Lactobacillales; Enterococcaceae. The record is from RNAcentral.